ACGUAUGUGAUAUGUCUACUUCACAAAGCUGAUAGUUCACUUUCCAUUUUUCUAUGGUUUCCAACUUGCCAUUUAUUUAGAAUUAAAACUAAUAGUAAAAAUGGAAGCUAAUUCAAGAAGAUUAAUGGGUUUAGAAAAGAAGAAAGCAAUAGAGGAAGAAUGGAAAACCAUUUACAGCUUCAAACGCCAACUCUCUAGUGCUGACUUCCCUUCCAACUUCAUAUUUGGUGUUGCCACUUCUGCUUAUCAGGUAGAAGGUGGAAGCAAAGAGGGAGGAAAGGGUCCUAGCAUAUGGGAUUCUUUUUCACAUACUCCAGGUAAAUGGCUUUGCUUUUGUUUUUUCUGCUUUUUUUUUUGUGGAUGUUUUGUUGAAAUUGAAGUGGAGCCUGGGGUAACUGGUAAAGUUGAUGCAUUUACCUUCGCCAGAAGCAAAGGGCGAAAACUCCUGAACUAGUAAAUAAAGGGUGCUUGUGUUGUGGUUUUGAGUUCCUUGGCUUGUGUUCUAAUAGUAACCACACGAAGAAAGCGGGGAGCAUGGUCCCUAGUCUCAUUUUUGUCGAGCUUGAUUCUCUAUGGCAUGGACGUUUUGAUUGGAUGGAGACAGAUAUAUAGAAAGUGUGUAGCUGCUGCCCAAAGGUGCUUUAUCAAAGCCGGUCCACAGCAGUGAAAAUACGAUUGAUUCCGUCGAUCGAAUGAAAACCGCUUCUUACUUUUUUGGCUUGACUACUCUGCUUGCUUAACACAAGUCUUAUUUAACCUUCACGGACCACUUCACUACCCAGCAAGAUCCGGCCAUGUGAAGGUCACGGUUUCAAGUCAUGGAAACAGCGUCUUGUAGAAAUGCAGGAUAAGACGGCAUAAAUAGGCCCUUGUGGUUUGGACUUUCCUUGAACUUCAUGCAUAGCGGGAUCAUUACUGCACCGGGCUGCGCUUUUAUGUUCUGUUGAAGUUUUUUGUUUCUUGUUAGACAAAAUAUGUGAUGGAAGCACUGGGGAUAUGGCUGUAGAUCAGUACCAUCGCUACAUGGAAGAUAUUGAGCUCAUGUCUAAGUUGGGAUUUAAGGCUUAUCGUUUUUCAAUAUCGUGAAGUCGCAUCUUUCCUGGAAUUUUCUUAGUCCUGAUGAGAAACAGCAUCAAGAACAUGCCGAUGUUAGCGAAAAAUACGUGUAGUUUAAUAAUGUAGAGAACUACUGAAGUCCCUAACGAGCAGAGGAGUUGUUCUGGCCGUAAAUGAGUUCUUCGACAAGUUAGCAGUACAUCUGAAAAAGCAUAAUAUUCCUCAAAGAAGGUGUUGAUCUCAUUCCCUCAAAACUAACUAUGUUCUCUUCAAACUGAGAUUUCUCCAUUUUAAAUGAAGAUUAAAAAGAGAGCCGGGGGUCUAUCGGAAACAACCUCUCUACUACUUCGGAGGUGAUGGUAUGGACUGCGUAUAUUUUACCCUCCCCAGACCCCACUAGGUGGGAAUACACUGGAUAGGUUGUUGUUAUUGUUGAAUGAAGAUUGAAAAGUGUGUAAAACAAAUCUCGUGAAAAUUUGUCGGUAACUUCAGUUAUAUAUCUCGCAAGAUCCUUGUUCUCUCGAGUUGUAAUUUAUAAGGUUCUGAACUUGCAUUUUCUGAAUUUGUUAACCAUUUAUUGCGUAAUUAUGGAGCAAAAAUAUCUGUGCUAUGGGCUGAUAAAUUUUAGCUACACUUACUAUAGCAUGGGGCUUCAGUUG
Molecule: RNA transcript, 1715 nt
Organism: Capsicum annuum
Lineage: Eukaryota; Viridiplantae; Streptophyta; Magnoliopsida; Solanales; Solanaceae
Gene name: furostanol glycoside 26-O-beta-glucosidase
Exons: 4
Source: RefSeq, a predicted model, not a curated record